UACAGAGGGUGCUAGCGUUGUUCGGAAUCAUUGGGCGUAAAGAGCGUGUAGGCGGCCAGGUAGGUCUGCUGUGAAAACUCGAGGCUCAACCUCGAGAUGUCGGCGGAAACCAUCUGGCUAGAGUCCGGAAGAGGAGAAUGGAAUUCCCGGUGUAGCGGUGAAAUGCGCAGAUAUCGGGAAGAACACCCGUGGCGAAGGCGGUUCUCUGGGGCGGUACUGACGCUGAGACGCGAAAGCGUGGGGAGCAAACAGG
Molecule: ribosomal RNA, 253 nt
Filed under: uncultured bacterium
Lineage: Bacteria
Description: partial 16S ribosomal RNA
Rfam family: Bacterial small subunit ribosomal RNA
Source: RNAcentral